AUCGAUGUCCAAACCAUCCUGAACCCUAAACAUGCCCAAUCUCAUCUGAUCUCAGAAGCUAAGCAGGGGUGGGCUCAGUUAGUACUUGACCGACAGAAACAAUACUUUACUUUGGCUUAUGUGUGGUAUUUUUU
This 134-nucleotide ribosomal RNA is filed under the name Cavia porcellus (domestic guinea pig). The record is from RNAcentral. Lineage: Eukaryota; Metazoa; Chordata; Mammalia; Rodentia; Caviidae.